Leucoraja erinaceus (little skate) is the source of this 3878-nucleotide long non-coding RNA. RefSeq lists it as uncharacterized. The transcript is spliced from 3 exons. Lineage: Eukaryota; Metazoa; Chordata; Chondrichthyes; Rajiformes; Rajidae. The record is from RefSeq and is a predicted model, not a curated record.
CAGUAACACACACACACUCACGGAGCCACCCACACACACACGGGGCCACACACACACACACACAGUGGCACACACACACACACUCACGGGGCCACCCACACACACACGGGGCCACACACACACAGUAACACACACACACUCACGGGGCCACACACACACACUCACGGGGCCACACACACAAUCACGGGGGCACACACACACAGUAACACACACUCACACAGACACACACUCACGGGGCCACACACACAAUCACGGGGGCACACACACACAGUAACACACACUCACACUCACGGGGCCACCCACACACACACGGGGCCACACACACACAGUAACACACACACACUCACGGGGCCACACACACACUCACGGGGCCACGCACACACAAUCACAGGGCCACACACACACACACUCACGCACACACUCACGGGGGCACAUUCACAAUAACACUCACUCACACACUGACACACACACCCACUCGCAAGGUCAUACAUAUUUACACACACACAGUAACACAAGCUCACACAGUGACACACACAUAUUCUCAUACACACGCUCAGUGUCACACACACACACACAAUGACAGUGCCACACACACUCACAGUGUCACGCACACAUAGGCAUACACACAUUCACUGUGCCACAUACUCGCAAGGACACACACACACACACACACAGGCCGGCCAGUGUCUACAGUAUGGAUGUGUAAAUGCACUCUUUAUCCGCAUGGUCGGGAGUGCGGGCACACGUGGGGAUGUGCGGACCGAAUGCAGCGAUCCGACCAAGUGUGUACUGAAGCGAGAGAGAGGGACGUUGCAGCGGUACCGAGACCGGGGGCCUCGGUGAGACCAUGGAACUUUGGCCCCUUCACCUACACAAGGCUACACUGGCCUUGGAGGGAGUGCUAUGGAGAGUCACCUGGCGAGCUCCUGGGACUGCAGAUUUAGGCCAACCAGGUACAUUCAGUCUGUUUCUGUACUCAGAGUUUAAAAGAGAGGGGUGACCACUCAAAUGACCAAAAGCCUUGGAGACCUCAACAAGACAUUGGUGAGGCCACGUUUGGAGUAUUGUGUCGGUUUUGGUCACCCUGUUACAGGAAGGAUGCCAUUAAGAUGGGAUUAAGAACGCAGAGGAGAUUUAGGACAAUGUUGCCAGGAUUCAAGGACUUGAGCUACAGGGAGGCUAGGACAUUAUUCCUUGGCGUGCAGGAGGAUGAGGGGUGAUCUUAUAUAUAAAAUAAUGAGGGGAAUAGAUAGGGUAAAUACUUUUACCCCCAGAGUAGGGGAAUCAAGAACCAGAUGACACAGGUUUAAGGUGAGGGAGGAAAGAUUUAAUAUGAACCCGAGGGGAAAACUCUUUUUACAUAAAUGAUGGUGGGUGUAUGGAAGAGUAUAUGUCAGAGGAGGUAGUUGUGGCAAGUACUAUCUCAGCAGUUAAAAUACAUUUAGCCAGGUACAUGGAAAGGCAAGGUUAGAUGGCACAGCUGGUCCCAGGCUCAAAGGCAUACACAUGCUCCUCUUUCAAUGUUCUUAACUGAACAGUAAAUAGUUAGAAAUAAAGCAGGCUUAAAUUGUAGAGGAAUGGCAGAGGACAAUAAGCCAGACUGAAGGUUAAACAUAGUGGUGGUGCCCAGUGAAAAAUGGUGAGAGUGUUAAUGGGAGAUGAAUGAUUCUGAAAUCCCAGCUAAGGAUAAACAAAGAAAGCUACAAAUGUAAGAUAGCACAUGUUCAGUUCAGUUUAUUGCCACGUAUCCCGAGGUACAGUGAAAAGCUUUUGUUGCGUGCUAACCAGCCAGUGGAAAACCUACAUGUACAUGACUACUUGAUACUGGGAUAACUGAUUACCUGUAACUGUUGAAUUUAACGUUAGUUCUGAAGCCCUACUAGAGAAAUCGACUCAAGGGUCAUCCAAGCAAUGUCAGCCCAUCACAUCUUUGCUAAAUCCAUUUUCCCACAUUGGAAUUCAACCCUUCUACGUAUUGCCUCUUCCACCGCCUGCCUAAGCAUAGUGCUUGUAUUUCAUUCCUCCACCUCCUGUGGCAGUGAGUUUCAGAUAUUAACCACUCCCUGAAUAUUAACAAACUUUCCCUUUAGAGCCACUCCUUCCUCUCACCUUAAAUCGAUGCUUCUUGUUUUUGAUAGCCCCACCUUGAGAAAAAUAACAUUUCUCUUUUCAAUGCCUGUGAUAAUUUUCUGAACAGCUCACCCCUCAGCCUCCUUCCCUCAAGGGAAAGAAGCCCAGCCUGUCUGAUCUGUCCCACAAGGAGGUUCUGCAAUCCAGGCAAGGUGCAAUGUUCAGACUGGGAGGUGUCGCAGUGGUGCCCACCCAGACAGUCUGUCGGUCGGCGGGAUGUCACCCGAAGGCUCGGCAGUCGACAGGAUCACGCACCCACCCGAAGGCUCGUCUGGACCUGCUCAAAGGUUUGUCGGUCGGCGGAACACGCCCGAAGGCAUGUCAGUUGGCAGGACCAGUAACCCACCUGGAGGCUCAUCGCAGCUCAACCGAAGGCUCGUCGGACCGGGAACCCACCAAAAGGUUCGUCGGAUGGCAUAACCGAGAGGGAGCUGGAGACAUUGGGCGCUAGGAGUGGGCAGGUAGAAGGGUGAUGCCUCCAACACCUCCAAAGUCAGCUGCAGAACGUGGCCCCAGGACAUAAAGAUGGCGAGCAAGGGGAGGACAUCUGAUUGUGGGAACUGCUCCAGUACAUCGACCGGACUCUGGACUUUGAAUAAUGGCACCAAUAACGCGGCGCCCACACGUGUAAUAUAUGUAAAAAUAAUAUCACUGUGCAGUUGCAUAUGUGACAAAUAAAGCCAUAUUGAACUAUUGAAACUUGCUAAUCAUGCCUGUGCGUUCUCAUCCAAAUCAUUGAUGUAGAUGACAAACAACAAUGCGCCCAGCACCGAACCCUGAGCUACACCACUAGUCACAGGCAUCCAGUCCAAAAAGCAACUUUCCACCAUCACCCUCUGCUUCCUUCCAUGAAAACACAUUUCUAUCCAUUCAGAUAUCUCCCCUUGGAUCCCAUGUGUUUGAACCUUCCAGAGGAGCCUACCAUGUGGACCCGUGUCGAAUGCCAUACUGAAAUACAUAUAAGUCUGCAGCUCUGCCCUCGUCAACCUUUUUGGUCACAUCUUCAUAAAACAAUGAUCUGGAUAGUAAGAUGAAAUUGGAGGAUAGCCAAUUUCAAUAUCCUACACAGAGCAUGUGAGGAUCAAUGGUGAGAAGCUCCUUGUCCACAUAUGGGAGUUAUUUCCAACACACACCAUGUACCCUAAGGAAAGGACAACAAGUUCUGUCUGGUCAGUCUAAUUGAAUUUGUCGAAGAAUACAAUAAUGACAUUCACAAUCACUGUAUGAUUGAUAUCAUCCAUGUAGACUUCAGCAAAGCAUUUGACACGGUCCCAUGUUGAAAAAUAGUCCAAAGGGUUACAACCAUUUAAUUCCAUGCAAUUUAACAAAUUGGGUUAAAAAUUGGUCAGGGAAUAGAAGGCAGAAGGUGAUGCGGACGUUGAUUUUGUGUCUGCAAGCCUGUGACCAGUGGUGAGCCAUGUUAUUGUUUAUUAUAUAAUUAAUACUUUGAAUGUGAAUAUACAAAAUAUGAUUAGUAAGUUUAUAGAGGACAUGAGCAUUGGUGGUGUGGUUGAUAGUGAGGAGAGUAGUAAGGCAGCAGAACAACAUUGAUCAGUUGGCAGAGUGAAUACAGAUAGAAUUUCAUCCUGAUGUAAUGCAUUUUGGGAGAACUAAAAGGGUAGGACACACAUAAUGAAUUUAUAAACCCCUAGGGAGUACAGGAUGAAAUCCAGCUGCCUUUGACUUGCUGGUGCCAGACUGGCAGACAUUCUUGACUGCUCUUAUUAAUCUUCAACAUACUUUUAAUU